This 1316-nucleotide unclassified non-coding RNA is filed under the name Hevea brasiliensis (rubber tree). Lineage: Eukaryota; Viridiplantae; Streptophyta; Magnoliopsida; Malpighiales; Euphorbiaceae. The record is from RNAcentral.
UUUUCUUGUGUCCGGUGGCUUUGACUGAAAACACCCCAAAUGCCAAAGCCAAUCUUGAAAACAACUCCACCUCCCCAGUCUUCACGUCAUUCCCCCACUGCUCUUACGGCUACUGCUGCCGCCUCAUAGCCACCUCUCUCCUCUACCCCCACCUCUUCACCGCCACAAACCCAGUUCAAGAAAUAAAGAGGGAUAGGGAAUAAAGUACUAGAAAGUUACUCUUGUCCCCUUUAAAAUUUUGAGUAGUGCUUUUGUCAUCAUGGCUGAUAGCGAUAGGGACCAUCUUGGAGCAGGAGGAACGAGCACUACUAGUUUCUCUCAGUUGCUGUUUUCCGAUGAUGAUAGCGUUGUUGGUAUUGAUAUGGGCCAUGCCCUUCACUACACUUCUUCUUCCACUGCCACUGGAAAGCUUUCUAAAAUGAUCUGCUUCGAAGGCUUUCACCAUCUUCAGGAAAACCAACCUGAUACUAAUGUUCAUCAACGUAGCGAGCCCACGAUAAGCACUCUUCAGAAGUCUUCUGGGGUCACAUGCAGCGACUCCUCUUCUACUUCUUCUGCCAACAACAGCAGCAGCAAAAAUGUCAAUGUCAACACUGCCUCAAGAUCAAAUGUAAAGAGAAAAAGAAAUGGGACAGGCCAACAACCUGUGCAGUGCACUGCGGCCAUAUCCAGAACUGCUUUAACAAAUACCAGGGCAUGUAAAAAGGCCAAAACAGAGAAUCUUAUUUCCCCUGCCUAUCCAAAGGUGAGAAAAGAGACGCUAGGAGAACGAAUCACUGCAUUGCAGCAGCUUGUAUCACCCUUUGGAAAGACUGAUACGGCAUCAGUUCUACAUGAAGCGAUGGGAUAUAUCAAGUUCCUUCAAGAGCAGGUUCAGGCCCUGUGCUCUCUGUACCUGCAACAUCUACCUAAGAGCGAAGAAAAUGGAGAAGAAUCAAGAAAGGACAUGAGUAGCAGGGGAUUGUGUCUGGUACCAGUGGAAUGGACCCUACAAGUAGCAAGCAGCAAUGGUGCAGAUUACUGGUCACCUGCAAUGUGCAACAAUUUUUCACCUCCAUCAACAACCAAGCACCAUCGGUGAAUCCACCUGUCCAUCAACUCAUAAUUUUUUACAAUUGAGGAUCAACAAGUUAAAAAUAGGGGAAGCUUUUGACUGCUAUUUUUGGUGUAGAUUAGGUGACAAAGUAGGAAAGGAAAGGAAAGGAAGGGAUCUUUCCUUGGUAGUUUUUGGUAAGAAAAUACAAGUGGGUUUUAGGCUGGGAAGUGUGUUUUUGGCGAAAAUAAUCAUUUUGCUCCUGUACUUAUUAUUAGGUGAG